GACAAAGGAUGCAAGCGUUAUCCGGAUUCAUUGGGUUUAAAGGGUGCGUAGGCGGACUUGUAAGUCAGUGGUGAAAUCUCUCAGCUUAACUGAGAAACUGCCAUUGAUACUGCAGGUCUAGAGUAUAGAUGACGUUGGCGGAAUAUGACAUGUAGUGGUGAAAUACUUAGAUAUGUCAUAGAACACCGAUUGCGAAGGCAGCUAACGAAACUAUAACUGACGCUGAGGCACGAAAGUGCGGGGAUCAAAC
RNAcentral lists this ribosomal RNA (250 nucleotides) under uncultured bacterium. RNAcentral's name for it is "partial 16S ribosomal RNA". It matches the Rfam family "Bacterial small subunit ribosomal RNA", at positions 524 to 773 of the family's 1533-position model. The record is from RNAcentral.